CCUACGGGAGGUAGCAGUGGGGAAUAUUGCACAAUGGGCGCAAGCCUGAUGCAGCCAUGCCGCGUGUGUGAAGAAGGCCUUCGGGUUGUAAAGCACUUUCAGCGGGGAGGAAGGCGUUAAGGUUAAUAACCUUGGCGAUUGACGUUACCCGCAGAAGAAGCACCGGCUAACUCCGUGCCAGCAGCCGCGGUAAUACGGAGGGUGCAAGCGUUAAUCGGAAUUACUGGGCGUAAAGCGCACGCAGGCGGUCUGUCAAGUCGGAUGUGAAAUCCCCGGGCUCAACCUGGGAACUGCAUUCGAAACUGGCAGGCUAGAGUCUUGUAGAGGGGGGUAGAAUUCCAGGUGUAGCGGUGAAAUGCGUAGAGAUCUGGAGGAAUACCGGUGGCGAAGGCGGCCCCCUGGACAAAGACUGACGCUCAGGUGCGAAAGCGUGGGGAGCAAACAGGAUAGAUACCCGAGUAGUC
Molecule: ribosomal RNA, 464 nt
Filed under: uncultured Klebsiella sp.
Lineage: Bacteria; Pseudomonadati; Pseudomonadota; Gammaproteobacteria; Enterobacterales; Enterobacteriaceae
Description: bacterial SSU rRNA
Rfam family: Bacterial small subunit ribosomal RNA
Source: RNAcentral